Molecule: long non-coding RNA, 1250 nt
Organism: Mercenaria mercenaria
Lineage: Eukaryota; Metazoa; Mollusca; Bivalvia; Venerida; Veneridae
Exons: 2
Source: RefSeq, a predicted model, not a curated record
GAUCUUCCUUUUACGUUUGGGUUUUUAAGAACCCUGAAGAGCUAGAAGAGAUGUUUCAUGCGUCACCGCGGAGAGGGGAAAAGCGUCUUUCUGUAGAUAUUAUGACGUUAUGGACAAAUUUCGCAAAAACUGGAAAUCCGAAUUUGCCAGAAGACCUCGGGCUUGACUGGAUUCCAUACACCUUGAAACAUAAACAUUAUCUGCAGAUAUCACGUGACAUGACAUCAUCAAAUGUGAAACAACGCUGGAACACGCGAAGAGCAAAUUUCUGGGCAAAUCUUUUGCCACAAAUGAUAAAAUCGGCUAGGUGUGAAGGAUCUAAAUAUGACGAACGUCAAAAUCAAGGAACGUGCCAAAAGGAUCAAAACUGUUCACCUUAAAUAAUAUUUUUGGGACGUUAACGCAGAGUAAUGGACAACAAAAUAGAAUCUAUCAGGUUGGCUAUAUUGACAAUGAUAAAACGGUGUGUAGGCCUAACUAUGAUGACAAUUCAAAUUUACAAAAAUAGCCGGUGAAAAUUUAAGCAUGUUCUACUCAAAUACAGAAAACUGUACAUAUAAUAACGUUAUCCGUGAUUUUUCGAUAAUAAUAAUUCCUUCUUAUCAGUGUCAAAAUUAUUCGUAAUUAGAAAUAAUGUUGUUGAAUUGAUAUAUAAUCGCAUCUAGUAUCAAAAUUGUCAUAUCAUAACUUCUGAGGCAAGGGACCCCGUUUUCAAUAAUGAAAAUGUUAUACGAUAGUGCACUCGAGUAAAUAAGGGUAAAAAAAUGUGUAUUAUCUACAUCAAAACUAGGUGCGUUCGUCAGGUGCAACGGCCAUACGGGGAAACGUUUAAACAUACUUGAUCAUGCUGAAUUUAACUCUCUUUAUGUAGCAGAUGCCAGUUUUUGGGCUUGUCUACAUUUAAUUCAGGAGAAAUCACAUAAACACAGAAACUCGAAAAGAAUACGUAUAGUAAUUAUGUAUAGAUGCAACAUGAUCCCUUUAUGUAAUAUGCCGAUAAUGAUAAUUGCAUAUCUAUGAGAAAAUGUUUUGCAUUUGUUAGGUGUGUGUGUUCGGGUUUAACGUCUUUCUCAACAAUUUUUCAGUCAUAUGAACGACGGUGUCUAUUUGUAGCAGUGAGCAUAAUGCCCAACUUUAUAGUGCUGCCUCACUGGAAUAUCACGCCGUAGACACCUGACAUGAUACCCCACCCAGUCACAUUAUACUGACACUGGGCAUUGUGUAUAAUACGAAAUUAAAGAGAAAGACAA